This 425-nucleotide ribosomal RNA is filed under the name uncultured bacterium. Its description in RNAcentral is "partial 16S ribosomal RNA". It matches the Rfam family "Bacterial small subunit ribosomal RNA", at positions 354 to 796 of the family's 1533-position model. The record is from RNAcentral.
GUGGGGAAUAUUGGACAAUGGGCGAAAGCCUGAUCCAGCCAUGCCGCGUGAGUGAUGAAGGCCUUAGGGUUGUAAAGCUCUUUCAGUAGGGAAGAUAAUGACGGUACCUACAGAAGAAGCCCCGGCUAACUUCGUGACAGCAGCCGCGGUAAUACGAAGGGGGCUAGCGUUGUUCGGAAUUACUGGGCGUAAAGCGCACGUAGGCGGACAUUUAAGUCAGGGGUGAAAUCCCAGAGCUCAACUCUGGAACUGCCUUUGAUACUGGGUGUCUUGAGUAUGGAAGAGGUAAGUGGAAUUCCGAGUGUAGAGGUGAAAUUCGUAGAUAUUCGGAGGAACACCAGUGGCGAAGGCGGCUUACUGGUCCAUUACUGACGCUGAGGUGCGAAAGCGUGGGGAGCAAACAGGAUUAGAUACCCGAGUAGUCC